AUUUUUUGUGUUGUGUUCAUCAUGAUCUCUACUUUUUUAUCAUUAUUUUUCCAGAAUUUUUUGAUGGAUGGUUUUUAAAUGGGGCUAGGGUUUGUGACAUGUGACCAAUUCUUGUACACUUUGCCAAAACAUUUGUGAAAUGAUGAGAAUGUAUCCAAUGGAUCCCAAAUUUUUUGUGCUUAAACUAGACACACUCAUGGUGAUUUUGGUAUAGAGUUU
RNAcentral lists this long non-coding RNA (219 nucleotides) under Lathyrus oleraceus (garden pea). RNAcentral's name for it is "Pisum sativum (pea) long non-coding RNA (PSAT_LNC022399)". Lineage: Eukaryota; Viridiplantae; Streptophyta; Magnoliopsida; Fabales; Fabaceae. The record is from RNAcentral.